This is a long non-coding RNA of Mustela erminea (ermine), 1309 nucleotides long. RefSeq lists it as uncharacterized. NCBI's taxonomy places the organism in Eukaryota, Metazoa, Chordata, Mammalia, Carnivora, Mustelidae. The transcript is spliced from 3 exons. The record is from RefSeq and is a predicted model, not a curated record.
UAGCAAGCCACAAGCUGCACAGAUGCCCAAGAGGUUAUACAUUGCAGAUCCAAGGAUGGUGCUAAUGCCGAUAUCUCCCUUUGUGAUAAAUACACCUAUGAGCAAGGGACCUUUACUUUAGGGCCCCGAGCCACCACAUAAAACUCCGACUUCCACGGAACUUCUGUACUGGAGAUGCCUCAUGAAGAAACCAUACAGAAGCAGAGAUGCCUGACGUACCCUUAACUAUUUCAGCCCACAAAAUUUGAAUUUCCCCAUCUCAGACACCAGACAUGUGAAAGGGAGGAAGGUUUAAGAUAAUUCCAGCCUUCUGUCAUUGCAUGAGCGACCUCAAGCUGGUACUGCCAGCUGAGCCCAGUAAACCCUCAAAGCUGCCUCCCUAGUCCCAGAGACACAAAAAUAUUGAAAUUAGGCCAGUGAAAAAACCUACCAUGGCCUUCAAAUGUUCAAGUGAAAGGAAGAGUUGCGCAUCUCUCACUUGAAAUCAAAAGCUGGAAAUGAUUAAGCUUAGUGAGAAAAGCAUGUUGAAAGCAGGGAUAUGCCAAAAGGCAGGCCUCUUGUGGUCAAAUAGCUAGCCAAGUUGCAAAUGCAAAGGAAAGUUCUUGAAGGAAAUUACAAGUGCUACUCUAGUGAACACACAGAAGGUAAGAAUGUGAAAACCGUCUAAAUGCUGAUAUGGAGGAAAUUUCAAUAGUCUGGCUAGAAGAUCGAACCAGACGCUACAUUCCCUUAAGUCAAAACCUAAUCCACAAAGCGCCAACUCUCCUUAAUUCUAUGAAGGCUGAGAGAGAUGAGGAAGCUGUAGAAGAGUUUGAGGCUACCAGAGGUGGUUCAUGUGAUUUAAGGAAAAGCCAUCUCCAUGACAUAAAAGUGCAAGGUGAAGCAGCACAUACUGAUGUGGAAGCUGCAACAAGGUAUCCCGAAGAUUGAGCUAAUUAAUGAAGGUGGCUACACUAAACAGAUUUCCAGUGUAGACAAAACUGUUCUGUUGGAGGAAGAUGCCAUCUAAGACUUUCUUCAUAACUAGAGAGGAGAAGUCAAAGCCUGGCUUCAAGGCUUCAAGAACAGGUUGACUUUUGUUAAGAGCUCAUGCAGAUGGUGACUUGAAGUUGAAGCCAAUGCUCAUUGACCAUUCUGAAAAUCCUAGGGCCCUUAAGAAUGAUGCUAAAUCUACUUGGCCUGUGUUCACAGUUUACUGAAUAUUUUAUGCCCACUGUUAAGACCUGCUGCUCAGAAGAAAAGAUUCCUUUCAAAAUACAACUGCUCAUUGACAAUGCACCUGGUCACUCAAGAGCUCUGAUGGAGAUGU